UAGGCAGAAGCCUGUUGGUUUGGGCAUCUAGCUGUUAAUUAGAGUUUUACGGGAUCAAAGCCCGUCUGUCUAG
Molecule: transfer RNA, 73 nt
Filed under: Herpetotheres cachinnans
Lineage: Eukaryota; Metazoa; Chordata; Aves; Falconiformes; Falconidae
Also listed under: 3 other names
Source: Rfam by way of RNAcentral